CCUACGGGAGGCAGCAGUGAGGAAUAUUGGUCAAUGGGCGUAAGCCUGAACCAGCCAAGUCGCGUGAGGGACGACGGCCCUACGGGUUGUACACCUCUUUUGCCGGGGGACAAACGGCGGCACGCGUGCCGUCCUGAGGGUACCCGGAGAAAAAGCCUCGGCUAACUCCGUGCCAGCAGCCGCGGUAAUACGGAGGAUUCGAGCGUUAUCCGGAUUUAUUGGGGUUAAAGGGUGCGUAGGCGGGAUGCCAAGUCAGCGGUCAAAUACGGGGGCUCAACCUGCGUCCGCCGUUGAACCUGGCGUUCUUGAGUGGGCGAGAAGUACGGGGAAUGCGUGGUGUAGCGGUGAAAUGCUUAGAUAUCACGAAGAACUCCGAUUGCGAAGGCAGCUCACUGGACUGCAACUGACACUGAGGCUCGAAAGUGUGGGUAUCAAACAGGAUUAGAUACCCUGGUAGUC
Molecule: ribosomal RNA, 459 nt
Filed under: uncultured bacterium
Lineage: Bacteria
Description: partial 16S ribosomal RNA
Rfam family: Bacterial small subunit ribosomal RNA
Source: RNAcentral